This is a long non-coding RNA of Xenia sp. Carnegie-2017, 300 nucleotides long. RefSeq lists it as uncharacterized. NCBI's taxonomy places the organism in Eukaryota, Metazoa, Cnidaria, Anthozoa, Malacalcyonacea, Xeniidae. The transcript has 2 exons. The record is from RefSeq and is a predicted model, not a curated record.
AUGAAGUCUAACACCACUCUUGUUACUUGUAUUCUUUUGACAUAAAUUCUCUUAAGUGGUCGAUAAUGCCAGUUCUUGUGGAAUUUGAAGUAAGUAACAAUGCACUUGGAGAGGAGGAUUUUCGUAAGGCUUACAAAGCAAGUAGCUCUACGAAAUAAUUUGCGAAUAAGUCUUGGGUCAUCAAAAGAUACAAAAAUGAAGCUCUUGAAAUCAUUGGGAAAAUUAACCAGACAGUGGAAGAUCAAGUUAAAAAGGUUAUUCAGAUGCAUCAACUUGCUCGUAACUUUGCUAUGCAGAUUG